RNAcentral lists this long non-coding RNA (625 nucleotides) under Mytilus galloprovincialis (Mediterranean mussel). The record is from RNAcentral. Lineage: Eukaryota; Metazoa; Mollusca; Bivalvia; Mytilida; Mytilidae.
AUCACUUUACACAUUACCUAUUGAACUACCUGAGAUUGCAAUGGAAUCGUACAAUUAAUUUCAUUUAGUCAACCUUUAAGAUUGCCAUUAAUCUUAUUUAGAAUUGGAUACAGUCUUUAAUUAUAGUGCAGUUCUGCCACAUGUACCAACAAUAUUUCCAAAUUGGUUGCCAUGGUAUCUGAAAUUUCCUUUAAUGGUUUUGCUGAUUUGACCACAACAGAAUUUUGUUCUUAUACCUGAUGUUUAGAAUUGUCUUCUGAUGUAUUUUAUACCAGCACAUAGGUUCAAAUGUACAAAGUCGCUUUGAAAGGGUUUUGUAGAAAAUAUUAAUCCAAUAAUCAGACGCGGGCAUCCAGAGUUAGAGGAAUGGGGGUAUGUAAAUGGCGAUAUUGGUAAAAAUAUUGGCGAUUAUAAUUUCGUUAUUGAAAAUAGGAUUAUUGAUGUUAAAUAAACAUUUUAUCAAAAAAAUUAAAAAGGAAUCAGAAGCCAAUCGGAGAUUAAGUCAGUACAGGGAAUAUUUAAAAUAAAUUACUCAAGUUUUCAGUCUUCAGAGAACACCUACUUUAACCAAACAAAGAAUUGUAAGAAAGAAAAGAAAGAUUCUGGAACUGAUAUUGUGUCACCA